This 1983-nucleotide ribosomal RNA is filed under the name Haliclona sp. sp5. RNAcentral's name for it is "SSU rRNA". It matches the Rfam family "Eukaryotic small subunit ribosomal RNA". The record is from RNAcentral. Lineage: Eukaryota; Metazoa; Porifera; Demospongiae; Haplosclerida; Chalinidae.
UCCUGGUUGAUCCUGCCAGUAGUCAUAUGCUUGUCUCAAAGACUAAGCCAUGCAUGUGCAAGUAUAAACGCUUGAAUCGUGAGACUGCGAAUGGCUCAUUAAAUCAGUUAUAGUUUAUUUGAUGGUGUCCUCCACGUGGAUAACCGUGGUAAUUCUAGAGCUAAUACAUGCAGAAGGUCCCGACUGUCACAGGAAGGGACGUAUUUAUUAGAUCCAAAACCAAUGCGGGUGUCGUUGUCUCGGCAGCGCCCCGGUCCUCUGGUGAUUCAUAGUAACUGCUCGAAUCGCUUGGCCUCCGCGCCGGCGAUGGUUCAUUCAAGUUUCUGCCCUAUCAACUUUCGAUGGUAGGGUAUUGGCCUACCAUGGUUGCAACGGGUGACGGAGAAUUAGGGUUCGAUUCCGGAGAGGGAGCCUGAGAAACGGCUACCACAUCCAAGGAAGGCAGCAGGCGCGCAAAUUACCCAAUCCCGACUCGGGGAGGUAGUGACAAUAAAUAACAAUGCCGGUCCCUUUAGUGGUCCGGCAAUUGGAAUGAGUACAAUCCAAACCCCUUAACGAGGAACAAUUGGAGGGCAAGUCUGGUGCCAGCAGCCGCGGUAAUUCCAGCUCCAAUAGCGUAUAUUAAAGUUGUUGCAGUUAAAAAGCUCGUAGUUGGAUUUCGGGGCCCCGGACGCCCGUUGCGUUCCCCGCCUGAUCCGUCGGGUGGGUGCGUGGCGGUCGUCGGUCUCUGAGUCGGAUCGGUCCGCCGAGAGGCGUGCACUGACCGACGGCCCCUGUUGUCUCUCGGGUUGCCCGCCUGCACUUCAUUGCUGCGGACGGGGAGUUCGGGACGUUUACUUUGAACAAAUUAGAGUGUUCCAAGCAGGCCGGUUGCUUUGAAUACAUUAGCAUGGAAUAAUGGAAUAGGGCUGCGUGACUCGUGUCCCUUCCUUCGGGGGGGGGCCGGGUCCUCGUGUCCUAUUUUGUUGGUUUUCGGGACCGCAGUCAUGGUCAAGAGGGACAGUUGGGGGCAUUCGUAUUCAGUUGUCAGAGGUGAAAUUCUUGGAUUUACGGAAGACGAACAACUGCGAAAGCAUUUGCCAAGGAUGUUUUCAUUAAUCAAGAACGAAAGUUGGGGGUUCGAAGACGAUCAGAUACCGUCGUAGUCCCAACCAUAAACCAUGCCGGCUAGGGAUCGGCGGACGUCGGUAGCGACUCCGUCGGCACCUCUCGAGAAAUCCAAGCCUUUGGGUUCCGGGGGGAGUAUGGUCGCAAGGCUGAAACUUAAAGGAAUUGACGGAAGGGCACCACCAGGAGUGGAGCCUGCGGCUUAAUUUGACUCAACACGGGGAACCUCACCAGGUCCGGACAUGGGAAGGAUUGACAGAUUGAGAGCUCUUUCUUGAUUCUAUGGGUGGUGGUGCAUGGCCGUUCUUAGUUGGUGGAGUGAUUUGUCUGGUUGAUUCCGUUAACGAACGAGACCUUAACCUGCUAACUAGUCGCGCCGUUUCCGAACGGCGGGGGUCCCGUUCCGGUCGCGCGUUUGGGCGCCGGCAGGGAUGGUCUCCCCUCCUCGUGUGGCGACUUCUUAGAGGGACACUCGGCGUCUAUCUUAGCCGAGGGAAGAUUGAGGCAAUAACAGGUCUGUGAUGCCCUUAGAUGUUCUGGGCCGCACGCGCGCUACACUGACGGAGGCAGCGAGCAUGUCCUUCGCCGAGAGGUGUGGGGAAUCUUGUGAGUCUCCGUCGUGCUGGGGAUAGAUGGUUGCAAUUGUCGAUCUUGAACGAGGAAUUCCUAGUAAGCGCGAGUCAUCAGCUCGCGCUGAUUACGUCCCUGCCCUUUGUACACACCGCCCGUCGCUACUACCGAUUGAAUGGCUUAGCGAGAGCUUUGGAUCGGAGCCCUGGUGGUCAGCAAUGGUCGCCCGGGAGUCAUUGAGAAAUCGCUCCAGCUUGGUCAUUUAGAGGAAGUAAAAGUCGUAACAAGGUUUCUGUAGGUGAACCU